UACGUAGGGGGCGAGCGUUGUCCGGAUUUACUGGGCGUAAAGAGCGCGUAGGCGGAAGCUUAAGUGUGGCCUGAAAGCCCCCGGCUCAACCGGGGAAGGUGGCUGCAAACUGGGCUUCUUGAGGGGGAUAGGGGAAAGUGGAAUUCCGGGUGUAGCGGUGAAAUGCGUAGAGAUCCGGAGGAACACCAGUGGCGAAGGCGGCUUUCUGGGUCCGCCCUGACGCUGAGGCGCGAAAGCGUGGGGAGCGAACGGG
RNAcentral lists this ribosomal RNA (253 nucleotides) under uncultured bacterium. Its description in RNAcentral is "partial 16S ribosomal RNA". It matches the Rfam family "Bacterial small subunit ribosomal RNA", at positions 524 to 776 of the family's 1533-position model. The record is from RNAcentral.